AAAUGUGCAUUGUUUAAGCAUUGACUGUCCUCUUGUGGCUUCAAGUAUAAUGGUCACGUCUCCAGAAGACUCAGAUUGAUACACCAAUCUGUAAUAUGCUUUAAGGCCCACUUUUGUAAGAGCCAAGUGUGGCAACGGGUGUGCUCUCUCUAUAUUGUUUCUGUAUAACAUAGGCUAUUUCUUGAUAUCUUGUAAAUGGUGAUAUGGGUGAUUUGGUGUUGUAUUUCUGCUGCAACAUGGAGCAGAGACAACGAUUCGUAACACAGAUGGGAGGACAGCGCUGGACCAGGCUGAAGCAUCCACUAAAGCAGUGCUGAACGGUGAGUGGGAGGACCAUGUUCCUCACAAGCAUUUUAUACUCACUAAUGGCAUGAUUGAGUUAGUUUACACUCAUUGCAUCUAUUUUUGGGCAUGGGAACAGAAUAGAACAUGUUUCUUUGUGAUACAAGAAUUACAGAACAUGCAGUUGAAUGAAUCAAAACAAUGAAACACAAAAGUUAUUUUGGAAUAUGUUUUCACACUUUCUUCAACACAGGUGAAUAUAUAAAAGAUGACUUGCUUGAAAGUGCAAGGUGGAGGAUAUCUCAGAUGCUUUAAUGACCUCCAUUCAGAUGCCUUGUUAUCAACUGUGACCAUUCUUGUGCUCUUCAUUCCAAUACAUGUGGUGCUUUCAAUAAGAGUGGGAAUGAAGACAAGCUGAUGGACCCUGCUAACACCAUGUAAUUAAUGUGAACUGUCAUGCCAGUGACGGUUGGAAGAUUAGUUCAGACAUCGUGCUUUGCUCCAGGCAGUACGUGAAGCUGACCUGGCCCACCUAAAGAAGCACCUGUCACUGGAGACCAUCACCUUCAAUAAUCCCCUUAACCAUGAAUUCGCUCUGCUUCCUGGCUUCUGAAAAAUCCCACGACGACAUAAUCGAGGUGCUGGUGAAACACGAGGCAAGGGUAAGUUCAGAUGUUAUCAUGUUAUCAAAAGCAUAAAGAUCAAGCCAACUUGUGUGUUUGCUCUAGGAUUCAAAUCAAAUAAAACAAAAUGUUAUUUGUCACAUGCUUGGUAAACAACAGGCGUGGAUAGACACACAAUGAGUAUCGAUAACUUGGCCAUAUACCAGGGGUACCAGUACCGAGUCGA
Oncorhynchus kisutch (coho salmon) is the source of this 1131-nucleotide long non-coding RNA. RefSeq lists it as uncharacterized. Lineage: Eukaryota; Metazoa; Chordata; Actinopteri; Salmoniformes; Salmonidae. The record is from RefSeq and is a predicted model, not a curated record. The transcript is spliced from 3 exons.